This 451-nucleotide ribosomal RNA is filed under the name uncultured bacterium. RNAcentral's name for it is "partial 16S ribosomal RNA". It matches the Rfam family "Bacterial small subunit ribosomal RNA", at positions 29 to 523 of the family's 1533-position model. The record is from RNAcentral.
AACGAACGCUGGCGGCAGGCUUAACACAUGCAAGUCGAACGGGUGCAGCAAUGCACCAGUGGCAGACGGGUGAGUAACACGUGGGAACCUUCCUAGGGGUACGGAACAACUCAGGGAAACUUGAGCUAAUACCGUAUACGUCCGUGAGGAGAAAGAUUUAUCGCCUUUAGACGGGCCCGCGUCGGAUUAGCUAGUUGGUGGGGUAAUGGCCUACCAAGGCGACGAUCCGUAGCUGAUCUUAGAGGAUGAUCAGCCACACUGGGACUGAGACACGGCCCAGACUCCUACGGGAGGCAGCAGUGGGGAAUCUUGGACAAUGGGCGCAAGCCUGAUCCAGCCAUGCCGCGUGAGUGAAGAAGGUCUUCGGAUUGUAAAGCUCUUUUGCCAGGGACGAUAAUGACGGUACCUGGAGAAUAAGCCCCGGCAAACUUCGUGCCAGCAGCCGCCGUAA